GGCGGAAUGGCCGAGCGGUCUAAGGCGCUAGAAUCAGGUCGCAUGACGUCCAUCUAGUCCUCACGGGCGUGGGUUCGAAUCCCACUUCCGUCA
Cubamyces lactineus is the source of this 93-nucleotide non-coding RNA. The record is from the annotation of a GenBank genome assembly. Lineage: Eukaryota; Fungi; Basidiomycota; Agaricomycetes; Polyporales; Polyporaceae.